UACAGAGGUCCCAAGCGUUGUUCGGAUUCACUGGGCGUAAAGGGUGCGUAGGCGGUCGGGUAAGUCUGAUGUGAAAUCUCACAGCUUAACUGUGAAACUGCAUUGGAUACUAUCCGGCUAGAGGAAUGGAGGGGAGACUGGAAUACUUGGUGUAGCAGUGAAAUGCGUAGAUAUCAAGUGGAACACCAGUGGCGAAGGCGGCUCGCUGGAUCUCUUCUGACGCUGAGGCGCGAAAGCCAGGGGAGCAAACGGG
RNAcentral lists this ribosomal RNA (253 nucleotides) under uncultured bacterium. RNAcentral's name for it is "partial 16S ribosomal RNA". It matches the Rfam family "Bacterial small subunit ribosomal RNA", at positions 524 to 776 of the family's 1533-position model. The record is from RNAcentral.